CACCACACACACUCUCUCAUCACAGUGCACUCUCUUUUUCUUUUGGUCGAAUACUCUCUUUUCCUCUGUUCUCCUCUGUCUAGAAAUGGCGCAAUUUAGCAACUGCAAAGCUAUGUUCUUGAUGGUAAUAGCCAUGGUGCUUGUCUCAGUUACAGCUCAGGAUACUGCGCCGGCUCCAUCACCGGCAUUGGACGCUGGAGCUGGAACUCUGGUGACAAUUUCCAGCCUAUACAUAUACUCUCCGGUGCUCUUCUCUCUCUUUGCGCUGCUUAGGCAUUAGGGAGACUUGGACUGAGACUACUAUAUAAUUAUUAUGGUAUUUUUUGUAUUCUUUUCUGCAUGUAUUUGUUAUUUCUUAAUCUUCCUAAUCAUUGGUUAUGGAUGUUAUAUUGCCUCACUAUAAAAUUUAGUACAGUGCUUCAGUGUGAGUGUGUCAUUUUUAGCCUUUAUUAUUGCAUUUCUAACGCCCAUGGAUUCCAUAGCCUCGAAGAUGCAAGCAACCUAAACAAGGCUAAAUGCCAGUCAUUGAGUUUGAUUAACUACUUAAAAACAGCAUCCUACUUCAUUUCUAAGAGUCAAGGCAAUGGCCGUUGUCGGAAUGUGGAUUUUUCGGCAAAAUCACAUUUAAAACAACAUAAAGUAGCCUGUUGUAACUUGUAAAUCUGAAAUACUUAUGGAAGUUCAUAAAACUUGGUCACACCAAUAAUAAGUUAUCAUCUGCUGAGCAAAGAAACGAAAUGCUCAGGCAGAAAAGUUUGCUAAAAUUAGUGUUACAACCAAAACACAUCCACCACAAGAAUGCUAAAAUGAAUCAUCCUACGGUAUUGACACUGCCAUCAUUCUCAAUCAUAUGAGACCUCACUAAUUAAACAACUGGGGUUACAAGAGACGAUUCCAUUAGAGAAUGUCCAUCUGAAAUCAUCACUUUUUUGGGCAAUAAUGUCAAUAGUGAUGUGUAUACGAAUGGCAAUUCCAAACUUAGUUUACGGCUCUGUUUUGAGUUUCUGAAUAGGCCUACGUUUUGACUUCCAAACUUUUGACAUUGUUGAGUGUAGAAAGCUGGGCCCUGAAGAUGCAUUCAUACUUCAAAAGACCAAAACAUAAACCAAGAUAACAAAUUGUUCAGACAAUUCAUAACAAUCAGUGAUUCAUGUUAUUGAACACAAAAAAAGAAGAUCUCUCUGUUCUCAAUAAUUCGAAACAUCUCGAAUGUAAUUCUCAAAAUCAAAGCCAGAAACAAUAACUGGCAGCAUUGCCAUUCUCAAUUAAUGGCAUUAUUCAUCACUAAAUUGAUAUGAAACACUACAGAAUUCAUCAUGAAUGAGAUAUAUCACUCCAACAACAAAAUUGGAACUCAAAUUUCCAAACUUUUAUCUCUCUUCCUCAACACCAAUGCCUAUUUCCGCACGGUCACCUAAGCUUAAAUCAACUAUCCAAUUAUCCAAGUGUAACCCAUUUCUCCAAUCAACUAAUAUAUACUAACAAGAAUGAAAUAUCACCAAAACAGAUACAAAUUUUAGCUCUUACCCAUCCAUCUAUUCGCUUUUGGGGUUUUCAGACUCUCCACCACCUGCCCGACCGGCCUCGAGGAGCUUCUUGUUCUUCUCGAUCGCCUCAGCGACUUCACCGGGCAUGUACUUCUCGUCAUGCUUUGCUAAAACCUCCGUGGCGGCGAAAUAGCACUCGCCGCUCCUCGCCUUCUCCGAGACACUCUUCGUUGAAAUCUCCCUUCGAAUUUCAUCCGUAAAAGGCUUGACGAAGCCCUCGACCACAACCGAGUGACCCUCCCGAAACAAAUCAGGCAAGGAGCCUUUGUAUCGGACCAAUAUAUCGGUCAUCAAAUCGGUGACGACGAACUCCAUCUCGGGCGACGAGGCGGGCUGGAGCACGCUGCCUUCGAGGACCAGACCGCCGAUCCUGAACUUGCUCUUGCUAGGGUUUGCUGAGUAUUUCUCUAGAGCGUCGGUUGGGGUCACGUAGAAGACGAGCUGGUCUUGGAAGCUAUUGAGGACGAUGACAAUGAAGCCCGCGAUGCAGCUGAAGGUUAGUGCAUAGGUCCAAAGGCGUCGGGUUUGGAGCUGGCGCGCCCGGCCCGCGAUGUCGACGGGUUUGGGCCGGAUCGGGCCACGGCGAGAGGUGGAGAGGAAGCGGAGAGUGAACGGGAGGAGGAAAUUUGUUGAACGUUGGAGAUGGGGGUCGAAGAGUGGGGAGAAGAUCAACGGUGGAGAUUGGAUGAAGGGACGGGGGUGGAUGGGGGUUGUGAUGCGAAGGAGGUGGGAUUUGAGGCGGAGGGCGAUGCGAUUGGCCAUUGGGUUUUAGGGGGUGUUUUUAUUUCUCGGGAAAGUGAUGGAAAAGAGGGGUGAAAGUGGGGGGUUUGGAGAGGUAGUAGCAGCCCUCUCUCUGAAGAGAAGCUUCGAGUUAUUCGGCCACGGUAGAGUUGACGAGGGUUUUUCAGAAGGAUAUGAAGGGAAUUUGGAAAAUGUUAAUUCUUUUACGUUGGUUUUUUAUUUUUUAGAAUUAUAAACAAACCAAAAAAUAAAAAGAAAAAAAGAAAACAGCAUCUGUUCCACGAUGUGAAUAUAUAUAUAUAUUUUUUUUAUGAACACAAGUUUAGGAGAAGAGGAGGCUACUCUAUCUCAAAGUCAGGGCAUACUAAGGGCUCUUUGAGGACUUACAGAAGGUCUUAGCUCUUUUAUUUUUAUUUUUAUAGAUUACCUACCAAGAGAAUUAUCGACAACAUGACUCGAACUUAAGUUUGGAUAGCAAAAAGAAUGAUUGUUACUAACUCAAUCGACCUUUGUUGGCUUCUACAUUGUGAUAUUUUGAAUGAUCCACAUUAACCCAAAAUGUUGAUUAAAAAAAUUAACCUUAAAUUUAAAUUAGAAACUUUAUUGAAUUUCAACAUAGUUUGGAUUUAUUAAAUUGGAUUUAUGUUGGCGGUAUUGGAUGGGGAAUUUCAAUAUAAUUCCAACUUUAUUGAAAAUAGUUUGGAUUUAUGUUGGCAGUAUUUGAUGGAUGAUAUGUUCCAAUUUAUCAGUGAUUUUCUAUUUUUAAUGUGUGUGUGUGUGUGUUUUUUUUUUUGGUCGGAAUCAAGUUUCAUUGAUAGAAAGGCGAUGCCAAUUACAAGAUCGUGGAACUUAUAAAACUAAGUCCAAACAAAUGCAACAAUAAAAGCCCACUAGAAAUCAAACUCAAAGAGGCAUAAAGUCUACAAUUGGCAUAAAGCAAGAGCCCCGAACUGACAGAAAGUCAGAGUACAAAACUAGCAUAAAGCCAGAGCCAACCAAAAGCAAAAACACCACUAAACACCAAAGUAAUGCUACCGUUACUUCCAUGAAGACCGAGACAUCGCCACCAGGACUAGUGAUGAGUGAAAGAACUGCAAACACACCAAAACACAUAGAACAAAUACAAAAACUACAAAUCUGAAAAUCCCUCGCAAUACAUAAACCGACCAUCACAGACUCAAUAACUACUACAAAAAUGAAACCACCAAAGCACCAAGAGGGAAACAACAAUCAAUCCAAGAACAAACCCGGGAAAACACUUCCCAAAGCCAAAGAAACCAACAUCCUAAUCAAGGAAGGAAGUGGUAACAACCCAAGAAUGGAAGGAGGUGGUGCACACACCCGAGCAAAAGCUCUACACAUCUUCCGAAGGAGACAUGAAAAAUCGUGUUUGGAAUUAGUCUCUGCAGCCUAUGGGGGUUGAUAGAUCCAAAAGGGAGAUAGAGUUCUUGAAGAAGCCAUAUAAGAAGGGAGGAAUUUAAAGAGAGCUAGGAAAUAAUUUUUUUUUUUUUUUUUUAAAAAAGGGAAGAUAACUACUUAUAUCGAAAUUAACGACCAAUGGAGAUAAGACACGUGGACAAAAUAGGGCAUUGGUAGAGAAGCCCUCGGCACCCAAGCCUGCCGAUCAAGUGAUUAGGGCAAAAUCACCCUCUGGACACGUGGAGCAUCUACAGUGAAUGUCAACAAUCCCAAAUCGAAAUUCUAUACAAUAUGCACGCCUCUCAAGGCUUAUAAGAAGGGGCACAAGUUCUAAAAUGGAGGUAACUGAAACUUUUGGCAUACUAGUCAUCGCUCUGUCCAGAUUAUUUACUAAAUCCGUACUUACUUAAGUAUCGGAGAGCCUUCGGCCGGUACCACACCGGUGCCCUAGGUAUUAUCGAGCGUUUACUCCUAUCAAGGCUCAUGACAUUCCAAAGGUCCAGACAUCACCAAGUUGAGCCCAAAAGUGCCGAACCACUUUUUCGCAUCAACAAUAACAGAUUGGAAUGAAGAGGAAGAUGGAAUAUGGAAAUUAGAAAUUGAAAGGGGUAGUGACCACCUCCCCCCUUGCUGCGUUGAAAGAGGGUGCAGCUUAAUGUCUUAAUUGUGUCAAAUUUUGCAAUUUUUUGAUGAAAUUGGGGGUAAAACCUCAAGAAAUACAGAGCAAUUAACUAGAUCCAAAUUGUAGCACCACUGAACAAUACAAUUAGCAAACACGUAUCAAACUUUCCCAUAAACUCCCAGCAUAUUAUAGCUUGAAACCAAAGACGCCAUAGGAUGCGAACCAAGAGUAUAGAAUUCUGCAUCAACUGAACAGAUUACGAAUACCCCCAUAUUUGAGCCUCAAAUAUCUGACCUCUGCAGAAAUUAGCAGCAAACCCACAAGUCCAAUCAAUCCCCAAAGAAAUCAAGUAUAACUUCCCUGCACCAAUGCAUCCAAGAGCACUUUUUAUGCGCAAAUUUUGCACUUUUUAACCCCUCGCAACUUCUUUUUGAGCCACCCCAUUCUUGUUCAUAAUAAUAAUUCAUGCUUAAGGUUUCGGCCACCCAAUUGUUGUUCAUAAUAACUCAUGCUUAUUUAUAAUUUCAGUUUAAAGAACUACAUAAGGUGGUUAAGUUCCAUCAGCCUUAACAUUCAACAAAGUUCUAGGAAACAUUUCCAUGAUCAUACAGACAACAUCAUACACACAAGAUGUUACAAAUGGAUGUUUCUUGAUAGUCUCCAUCCUACAUCUCGAUCCUUUUGCAUACAGAGCUUGAUGCGAGAGGCUAACCAUGAGAGAAAUGGAGAGAAGCGCAAGAAGUUGCUAUUAUAAUCAAUAGUUCGUCUCCUUUUCCUAAUACAAUAAAUAGUGUCUACCGCUUUAAUUUUUGACAUCCAUUCUCAAUUUAAUUUUCUCCAAUGUCCCAAAUUAUUUCACAUGUUUCAAAUAAUCAAUUAAACCCAUAUGGAUUUUCCCCUUGCAACUUUAUCAAAUCAUUAGAAUUUUAUAUUGACAUAACAGAAAACAAUAUUUGAAAAUGAUAAUUUUCAUGUGCAAUGAUCAUACCCACAACAAGAGAAGAAUUAUAUAUACAUUUUGUUCACUGUCAAGGCUGUAUGGCAAUAUGCCCUGCAAAGAUUUGAAGUCUCUUUUUGGCAAAAGCUAGCCGAUGGACAACGAUUGGAUGCACUUACUUCAUUAAUUUUAUGAAUUUGCUCAGAAAGUUUGCUAAUAUAAUACAAGUAUUUGUAUUAUGUCCCAAAUCUCAGUCUGGAAGUUUUGAAGGUUUGGGAAGGAAGACUGAGCUAGCUAUUGUAAAGGAAUAUGUAUACCUCUCUCUCUCUGCACUUAAACCAUUGAGAAAGUAAGAUACAUUAUUUAGGGCACUUUAAUCUUUAAUUUUUGUCAUUUCAUGUUCCUGUGAUAAUUUGACAUAUCGAUUGAAGAUGCUCGUGAUGAAUUAUAUGCUUUGAUUUAUCUAGUAUUAACAAGAUGCACCUUACUUUUAGGUGGCCAAUAAGUCUGUAUUAUCUUCAACUUUUGAACGUUUGGAAAUGAAUAUUGAGCAAGCUAUUGGUGCUUACGACCUAACCCACGAUUAACUCGACUUAAAUAAGCUUUCGUGCACGAUUGCAAGCGCAUGCCACUCUCAACAUAAACCAUUGAGAAAGUAUAAAACAUUAUUUGAUCAAAAUCUUUUGUCAUACAUGACCUCAUUUCUUUUCUUGCAUCAACAUGCCAUGCUUGAUCAGACACAACCGGCUAGAAAAAAAAAAAAGUAUUAGCAACUCUAUAACGAUCCAUUUGAACAUACAUGUAAUAUAUAUAUACAUAUAUUUUGAAUACAAUUAAUAGUCUCAACUAUAAAGAUGAGGAAGUUUUUCACACACACUACUAAUAUGUUAUGGGAAUUCGAAUAUAAGACUUCUGGUGUGUAAGUCAAUAUCCUUUUUCAUUGAGCUAUAUCUAUAUAAACGCAUUUCAUGUCAAUGAUACAUUUAUAACUAAACUAAGUACAUUGCUUUAUACGUUAUUUACUUCUCUUUCUAGAGUUAUACUCCGAUACCGAAACAAUAUUGUUCUCAUAAGGGAAAUGAGUAUAGAAAAAUACAAAUGUAUAAUCGUAUAUUCUUUAUUUGCAAUUAAGAAAAUGAAGUUUUUGCAUUGAUAACUAUUAGAAAAGUCCUUAUGCACUCCUUGCUUAUCUCUAAUCAAAAGAAAACGGAUGAGGAAUGAAUUAAAAAGAAAAAAUAGACAAACAAGAAAUCAAUCAAGAAUGUCUAAUUUAUAGGCAUUGAUUCGUGGCUUGAAGCCGUUCGCUAUAGUAGCCUAAGCCUAGCCCCUAGAAAUACGAAGCACUUCCAUUGAAGUACGAUUAGGAUGAUGAUACAGGUUAGGUAUAGACUAAGACUGUAGAGAAAGAAACUCAUUGUUCUCUUCUCUUACAUUUUCUUUGGACCACCCUUACAAACAUCUCUUUCUUCCACUAUACAAAAUUGAAAAUUCCCUCUCUCUCCCUCUCUGUAUAUAUAUUUGGCUUUGAGUUCCCCGAUAGCUUAAACCAUUUCAGCUUCACUGUUUCAUUUUACUCUCUAGCUACUCAGUCAUAUUCCGUCACACUUUUUUCAACGGUUCAGCCCCACGGAUUUUGGAGCUUUUUGGUCUUUGAGUUUGGACUCCUUGGUCAAGAAAAAUCCCUCCAUGGAUUCACAGGUCUUGAUGGCUCUGGCUCUCUCACUUGUGGGUGGACUGAGUACUUCAAUCGGUUAGUAAAAAGCUCAUGCUUAUUCAUCGACUGCUUCAACUACCCAUUUCAGCAAUUUCAAAUUCAAAUUGUCACAUUUAGGAAGAUUUUGUUGUUCUUGUUUCGUUUGUCAAGUAAUGCUUAUCCAAAUUUGCUUCUGGGUAUUUCUUACUUUUGGGUUUUGGCUUCAAAUUUGCUUUCUUUGUUUGACUUUUUGAGUUUUAGAUAGAAGUCUGAUAUUGGUUAAUUUGCUGGUGGGUUUUGUAAAUUAGCUUCUACUAGUUUCAGUUCCCUAUCCAUCAAGUUGUUGCGAAAUUGAGGUUUAAUGGUGUAGAAGGCAUUGUUGGGAUGUGUUCCCGCUGUUUUCUAGGCCAGUUCUUUUGUAUUAGUCAUGUUGUGAAAAAGGCUUUUGAUUUUUAUGGAAUUUCCUAAUUUCUGAUGUUCACCUCAUUGCUCAGUAAAUCAGCUUCUGUUCUGGAGUCUAAUGAAAGUCUUGGAAUGUGGUACAGGUGCACUUUUUGUAGUUCUCAAUGAGGCUCCCAAUUUGAAGAUACUUGGGCUUUUACAGGUGCUCUGAUUCAUAUCCUUAAAUUCUGAAAUUUUAUUUGUUCCCUGGUUCGGUCAUUUUCUUAAAGAAUUAGCUCAUGUGUUGACUCAAUUGCUUACAUUUUCUUCUCUCUUCAGGGUUUUGCUGCAGGUUUGAUGCUAAGCAUAUCAUUCCUAGAUUUGGCUCACAAUGCUAUAAAUUCUAUUGGCUUUUUAAAAGGCAACCUAUGGGUAAGCCAUACACUUUAGUGUUUGUCUGAUUCAAAUCCAUAACCUCUCCGACAUGAGUUGCUCAUGUUUUCUUUUAGAAUUAUAUGUAAAAUUUAUCGGUGGUGCAGUUUUUUGGCGGUGUCAUAUUCUUUGGUAUCAUUGCCAAUUUUAUUCCAGAACCAACACUUGCUCCUAGUUCAGAUGUGAGAGGUAAAAAGGUAGUAAUCAACUUUUCUCCUUCUAAUUGAGCAAUUUGUGGAUGCUUUUGCAUAUGAUUUGGCAUUAUACUUCUACCCCAAAUAGAAGGCAUGUUUGACUGUGCGACAAUAUACUUAACAACAGAAAAGUGGGGAUGAAGGGGGCAAGGACACUUUGAAGAAGCAUCGCCGCCAAGUUCUAUACAGUGGGAUAAUUACAGCAAUAGGUAUACUACUUGUUUGAGAUGGUUUAAACUACCUUCCAUACUGUUCUUUGAAUUAGAAGACAAAAUUAAUUUGAUGUUACAUGUGGAAUUGGAAACUUUAGUUAGUUAAUGGUUGCAUGUUGAAAUUUAAAAGCUUGUUUUGAUAAAUUAAGUCAAGUUAGUCAAAUCUAUAAAUUAGAAAAACCAUUUUUAUGUCUUUGUGUUUUGGAUAUGUCUUUUGUUGUUGUUUUUUUUUGGGCCUACAAGAAGAAUAAAAUCUACCCCUCUUCUCACAACCCAAGGCCUAGGGGUGUUUUGCAUCUUCUGCACGUUUUGAAUGUUUCUAAUAGCUUACAGCAAUACUUUUUAUUUUCUGGACUUUUUAUUUUCUUCCCCUUUUGAGAAAUAAAGUCUGAGAAAAUGUUUGAGUAAUAUGGUUAAUGUCUAUAGUUGAUCCCCUCUAAUGUGGAAUAUCAUGGCCAUUGAGUUGCAGGCAUAAGUUUACACAACUUUCCAGAAGGAAUGGCCGUGUUCCUUGGAUCAAUGAAGGUACCUCUAUCUUAAGUUUUUAUUGUUCUUAGAAUAUUGAGUUAAUUCUAAGUUUGAUUAGAUGGAUGAACUCAUGCUUAUAUUGAUUUGAAUUUCACAAUAUGUGUCUGAUUUAAAACAAAACAAAAUUAUUUUUAAAUUAUGUCUAUAAAAAUGUCUUCUUGAAUGGUCAGACUUCCUUUGAUUCUUGAUGUGCAAUACUAAUGCAGUUUUCUUUGCCUAAUUAUUUUAAGAUAUGUUGUCGAUAUAAUAUAGUAUGGGGGUAGUGCGACCAUUUAAUUAACUUAUACUCACCAACUAUACCAACUAUUUAGUAUUCUUCAUGACCAAAUUAGAUGUAUUAUUAUUUAAGAUACAAUCUAGAUGGUGAAAUUUUAUUUAUUUUUCUUCCUUGUGAUGCAGUUUUAGCUUUAUUCCUACAUUCAACCAAUUAAUUUGGUCACGGAAGCUCUGUAUAUGUUGCUAUCUUCUUGAAGCACAGCUUCCGAUGCUGUGGUUCCUAGUAUGGGAACUCAUUAGUAAAGCUACUGUAUUUUUCCUAUCUAAAACAAUUUUAGAUGCUUACAGAUCCUGGCUUAUAUGUUUUUUUCUUCUUCUUAAUUUCAUAGAUGUAUAUGCUAGUUGAAAUUGCUAAAUACGUGUGCCAUUCCAUGCAUUCUUGUAUGUUUUCUUUUCUUCUACUGUAUAUUGGUUUUGAUUUGCAUGGUCUUUUCAUCAUACGGGAUUGGUGGUUGUAGAUGCAGCAAGAAUGGUUUUCGAUAUCUGUUUGAGGACUAUAAUUGCUGCUGAUGCUAAAUGUCAUAUACCAUUCUUGCUUGUUCCCUAAUUGUUUGCAGGGCCUUCGUGUUGGUGUCAACUUGGCCUUGGCCAUUGCCUUACACAACAUUCCAGAGGUAUGUAUAUUCUCUAAUACUUGUACUGUGUGGUAUUGCUCUAAUUGCUCGCACUCUGCCAUUGAUUAAAGUAGGACAUAAUUGUUUGUACCUUCCAGGGUCCACCACUUACCAUAAUAACAAUGGCUGGACUGGUAAUUUUGGUAAUAUAAUGGACAGGUUCCUUUGCUAUUAAGGAUACAAUUUUUGGAAUAUAUGGAACUAAUGUUGAUUGCAAGAAUAGUGCACAUCGCAACAAAGAGAAAUUGAAAGAAAAAGGAUGGAAAAUUGCAUUCAACAUUUCAAAAAUUCAAAAACCUGUCAAAUGAUUUCCGAGUUUCUAAAUGAAAGAUUCAAUAUUUUUAAAGAUUGUAUUCUGUGUUUUGGUUAUGAAUAUCAUCAAACUCUAAUUGUUCAUAAACUUCAUGCCCAGAGUGUGAUGAGCAAAAUUGUAGACUAUUAAAUAGAUAGAGGUUGCUUUAAAUUUUGAGUUUGGACUUAUAUUAAUGUAGAACUACUAUUGUUAUUAUAGUGACAACUUUUUCUUUUCUAGGGCGUCGCUGUUGCACUUCCUGUUUACUUCGCAACACAGAGGUGAGAAUUUUUGGAGUUGGCUUUUUGAAGUACUUAUGAAUUGUGACAAACAAUGGGUUUACUUUCUUUCUUCUUUUUUUUAAAUAACUCUCAAGUGUCUUUAAUUAACCCUGAAGGCAGACAAAAAUAUUUUUAAAAAGGUAGUGGUCUUUGGUAAAAUGAUGUCGACUCUGAGGGUUUUGGUAAUUUUGUUAGAAGUGGUGGAGGUAGUUGUAGUUUUGGCAGUGGUAUGAAAUUGUUAUUGAAUGUGGUAAUGGAAAAGGCAGUUCUGUCAUGGUUGUACACGGGCAGUGUUAUGAUGGUUUAAGCAACGAUGUUGGUGGUGGAGGAUAUCAUGUUUGUGGCUGUGCGCUACUCCUGGUAAUGGGUUCCGGUGGAGCAAUAUAAAUACUAGUGGUAGUGUCUGGUGGUUUGGUAACUAGCUAUUCUUUAGGAUGUCAGUGCCGUAGUUUGGAAAUUGGAUGCAGAUUGUCUCACUUCAGAAGCAGAGGGUUUCAAUCAAAAUUUUAACUCAAUUUUUUUUUUUUUUUUUUGAAUAAUAGACAUGAGUUCUAAGCUUCGUUCACUUUAGAGCAAUAAUUACUUCAUAAGUUUUUGUUAGCCUUUAUAUCGAGACAAUUUUAUGAAUCUCUCUCAAACGAACACUGAAUCAUUCUUAUGAGAAAUUAUUAAAUGGUGGGUUUUCUACAUGUCCCAGCAAAUGGCAGGCAUUCAAAUUGGCAACACUUUCUGGUUUUGCUGAGCCUUUGGGUGUCAUAAUUGUAGGUAUGUCAACUGUGAAAAGAAACUUAGAUAUCUUUCUUUUACCAAUCUUAAUGGGAAGGGUGGAUUUAGAAUAGGUGCUUGAGUCCUGAAUUUCUUCAAGGCCACUUGUUCAUGGUUUUCACUUCUGCUACAGCCUAUCUAUUUCCAAGCAGCUUGAGUCCUGAUAUUCUUGAAGGCUUGCUGGGAGCAGGUUUGCAAAUUAAUGAUAAUUUAAUAUAUCAACUGAAUAAGAAUUAUUUUUUAUGAAAAUUUUGGUUCCCAUGCAUUUUUGUUGUCACACAGUUGGUGGAGUAAUGGCUUUUCUAACCCUGCAUGAGAUGCUUCCCUUGGCGUUUGAUUAUGCGGGGCAGAAGCAAGCUGUCAAGGCCGUAUUUUUGGGAAUGGCCUUCAUGUCUGCAAGGUAAUACUUAUGUUUUAAAUAUACUGAAGAAAAAUAUUCGAGAAUGUCGCUCUUACAAAUGCAAAUAGGGUACUUGUUGGUAAAGGAGUUUUUCAGAGUAACUAGCUGUUUAAUUUCUUUUUAUCAAUAUCUAGAAAAGGGUUAGAGAAUCUGAGGGUGUGAUAUUUGUAGCUGUACAUAAGUGUUGCUUAUUCUCCUUACAGAUUACUCUCUCUUUGCCUGUUUUGCAGCCUCUACUUUCUCGAAAUCAGCCUACCUCAGGAGAUGAGCUUGUAGCUGUGUUCCAUCAUUCCAUGGAUCUUACCCCACAGUAAUUUACAUUGUUGUACAAGUCUACUGACUUUAGACCGCCUUCAAUAGAUCAUUUCGUUUCUGCCUGAAGACCUGUAGUGAUUUUAAUCGGCCUUUAAUAGCUCAUCUGGUUUCGGCGCAAAGGAGAAAGUAAUACCCCAAGGAUGGUAGUUCAUACUCGAUAUAAAAGAGAUGUACUUAUUUUUUCCUUUUAAUAAAUAUGUAAAAUGAAUAGUGUACGGAACUUGAUUUCUUUACUGAACACUCUUUCAUUUUCCUGUAUUUGAAUAUGAAUAUUGCAGAUAACAGUACCACCCAAACAUGUGAUGUACAGAGUGUAUUUUACUUCCACAUAAGUUGAGUCGUGGAUUAGAUUUUUCAUGGAUGAUCCUGAAUGAAAACUGGUUAGAACAAUCCAUGGCUGGAAAUUGUAUUAUCCAUAUAAGUUAUGGAGUUGAAAACAAUUUCAAUAUCCAAUAAGGUGAUAUAGGUAUGAAUUAUAUGGUUCACUUUCCUCCGUAAAGUAUUCGCUGUAAGUAAAUUAGUCAGCGAAAUUUGCUAGCUUGAAAUGGUAAUUGCAAAUUUGCAACAUUAUGAAUCCUGUAAAAUCUUAUGGUUAGACAAAUUUGUGCUCUGGAAUGGUAAAAGAGACAACUGAAUAACACCACGAUCCCAAACAUGCAUUAAGAAUAUGCUCCUUCAACAACAGAUAGAUUCCAAGACCAGUAGGAAGAACAUUUUGUUCUUCCUAGUGCAAGACUCUUGGCAUAUCUUGAUAUUUUAUGUAAUUAUUUCUCUGCAAUAUCAGAUUCUAAUAUUUUAUUGCUUUUGGCUUGGCAUAUACAUCACAAUCCCAUGUAGGUUGAGCAACCAAAGGAAACGACAUGUGAAUUUCAAAAAGGCAUGAAAAAGGAAAAGAAAAGACAAGAAAAGAAAGGCAGCAUAUAUAUAGAUAUAUGAUGACUCGUGUAUGGAUCAUGCUGUUAUGACAUGCAAUGCACAACACUUAAACUUUAAUCCAUAUAAAAAGUUUAGGAGAUUCCAAAGACCUAGCCAUCAUAGUUUUGAUUUUCUGUUGAGUGGUCAAUUGAAAUGAAGGUCUUCUCCUCUUCAAUCUCAUAAUGACUUCCCAUCUAGGAAAUCAUUGUAAUUUCUUGGAAAUGCAAUUUCAGAAACAAAAAACUAAUCUGGACAACAUGGGAUUAAAGCUGUCUAGUCCUAUCUUCUUAUGCAAAAAGCAUUUGAUGAGAUUUGUGAAAUUGAAGAGAAAAUGGGGGUAAAUAAAUAGUGAGAAAUUCCACUCAAAGAAAAAAGAGAAGAAAAGACUAAAGGUGUUUUAUUAGGUAAAGUAGAGUGGGGAAGGAACCAAAAUCAGGUUUUUUUGACAAAAGCUUUUAUUGGUAAGAGAAUUUCUUAGAACUAACCAAAGCUUAUUAUGGGAUUUAGGCUGUCUAGUCCUGUCUUUCCCUUGUGAUGCAAAAAGUUAGCUUUUGAUUGGAUUUAUGAAAUUGAAGAGAAAAUGGGAUAUGGCUACAGCUAGUGAGAUUAGUAUAGGAACUAUAUUAUAUGCACACACUCAAAGCAAAAGAUAAGAAAAGACUUAAAGGCCUUUCAUCACCCGAAGGAUCAAGUAAAGUUAACAAAAUCAAGUUUUUUUGUCCAACGCUUUAAAAUUGCACGAUUUACUUCAUGAAUAUGAUUAUAAAUAAAUAAAAAAGUAUUUGAAGGACAGAGAAUUAAGCACACCAAGAACACUGGGAUGUAAUUGAAGCACAGGUAAUUGGACAUGAUGCAAUUAAUCACUACAAGAAAAUUAUUGGUGUCCGUCUGCUAUUAGACGCUAAUAGUAGUGGCUAAUAGCUAACAUCGACAAUUAUUGGUGUCCGUCUGUUAUUAGACCCUAAUAGUGCCUUUAGCCACCUUAUCCUCUACGACUAAUUUCAGUGACUAAUGGGGUUUUUUGCUUGUAGUAUUCUUCCCAACAUUAUCAAUAACCCCAUCACUAACUUUGUAUCUUCAUCUGAAUCAACUACAUCUUUAAUUUCAUCCCAUUAUAUAUAUACAGUGCAAUUGUACAUGAUCUACAGCCUACAGAGAAACCUUAGGCUUAACAUUAUGGGAUUUUUGUACGUUUUUAUGGUCAGGACAAAUAAGCAAUAGGAAUGCUUCUGAGUUCAUAGGUCCUUUAUUGAUGUUGAAUAGUAAGUUAUCUGUUCAAUCACACCAGAAAUACUAUUGCUAUAGCUACCUAUAGGCUAUCACCUAUGCUUAGCUCUCUAGUGCUAAAUCCAAAUUCUACACAAUAUUGCAUCUGUUUUGUGCAUUGUAAAAAAAGGGUUUAAAUCAUGAAUUAAAAGUUAUAAAAGAAGAAGAAGAAGAAAAAAAACACAUUCUGGUGCAAGUUUGCAAACCUUUGCUGCUGUCACUGAUCUUUUUUAUUACUUGGACGUGUUUUGCGUAUGCUUUUUUACGCUUUCCAUUUUCUAUCUGCACUAGCAUACUUUAUUUUAAUUUAGUACCUAGGUUAUAGCACUUUGCCAUAUUUGCGUCUAAAUUAUUGCUUCCACAGAAAAAAGUAGGAAAAAUACAAAGAAAAAGAAAAAAAGAAACAUUAUAUAAGUUCAUUAUAUUGUACAUCUUCAAUGUGAAACAUGUAUCUUUUUCUCUCCAUUUAAUGAUGAUAUACUUUCUUUAUUUCUUUCAAGAUUUUGUCCAUAUUCCCCUACAUUGAGACCCCAUCCCCCAUGUUAUGUUAUAUAAUAUACAUUGAUAAAAAUAGGGGGAAAAAACACCAAGUUUGCAAUAUAAAACCAAUUUAGCGUAGGAUAAUCGAUGAGUAAGCUUAUGGUAUGUAUUAUAUAUAUAUAUAUAGAGAGAGAGAGAGAGUAUAUUCAAAUGGAUUAUUACUUUUGCUCUUUAAUUUCGUUUUACAAGUGAUUGGGGGAGGGAAUUUAUACAAUUAUUAAAUGGGUGUUUGGGAGUUUCGAAUCUCUGUCCGCAUGAGUGGAAGUGGAAAAGAUCAACCAACAGAACUAUACCCACAGAUUUUACUCUCUCUACUUUAAGUUACUUUUUUAUAUUUAUUUUUAUAAAGUUCUUAAGUGAUAAAUGUGUCAAGAAUUCGUAUUCGCCCAUCUCUAUUUUCCUUAUGCAUGGGGAUCCCUUUACCAAAUAAAUUAUUUCCAUGCUAAUUCAAAAUAAUCAUAACCAUAUAUAUAGAAAUGCGUCCUCCAAAACAAAUAUAUAUUAGUUUAUUCAUCCCCAAAAGAUAUUUAAGGACAUCUUGUAAUAAAUUACUAUUAAACCAAUUAGGUUUGGUCCUAGCCAAUCGAUGUCUCUCGAGACAAGAAUUCGGUAGUAUGCACAUUGAGACGUAAUAGGGAGACAAAGUUGUCCCCUUUGUGCUGGCCAUGCCAAUAGAAGGACUCAACAAUAGAGAGAACAAAUUUAUACCUUCAUGGACAGUCUUGGCUCUGCUACCAUAUACCAUUCUCUUCGUUUUUCUUUUCAUUUUUUAAUGCGACAUGAGGUAUCUUAACCUCAUUAAUCCAUAAUUAGGGUAAAUGAAAUGGUUUAAGGGGUUCUUAACACAAUUUCAAGCUCUUUUGGGGGAUUCAGAAAUAGAAAUUCUAAACAACCAGGGGACUUCACAGCAGUUGAGAUUCUACUUAAAGUGUCGGCCUAAAGCCAAAAAUGAGAAAAGGGAAAGAAAAAUAAGUUUAUAUAUAUAUAUAUAUAAUUACAUAUAUACAUAUGUGUAUAGAGAGUACGUACUAGCGUAAUCAUACAUAGAUGCAUGGUGGGGACUAGCAUCUACCUUCUAUGCAAUUAUUCUUUUUCUUUACCCAUUUUUUAAUUAAGAGUUUGGUAGGGUAACUUUCAUGCAAGUGAUUCUAAAACCAGUUGGUUGUGAGUGGAAGUUUAUAUUUUAAUAUAUUUACCAGUUAUGAUAUAAGUGCGUUGAUAACAUCAUAUAAUAGUGUUACGGUUACACCAAAUAAUUUGCUUAUUGUAAACGUAUUGAUGUCAAAAAGCAAAAGGACAAUUUAUAGGAACCUGCUGUAUAAAACCAAGACAUGGGAAUAUGGGAUGAAGAAGAGAUGAUGUCUCAGUGGGGUUUUUUAGUGGUGCAGGCAAAUGGUGAUUAGUGCUAGCUGUGAGUCAGUGACGGAUCACUGGCUGGGAAUAACAAGGAGAACAAGAAAAGAAUCACAGAGCUGGACAGAUUAUUAAUGAAUAAAUUAACUGAUUAAUUAAUUAGGGUACGUAGGGUAUUUUACGUUCUGUUAAAUCUAUCUAGAUAGGGUACAAUGAAACCAUAAUAACUGUCAAAGACUGGCAAAAACUUACCUCAUCAUCAUAAAAGUGAAAGACAGAGCUUGAGAGCUCAUGACCUGGGAAGGGAAGGGAAGGGAAGGGAAAAGGAGACAUAAAAUGUGAAGCUGAAUUGGGACACACGCUGAACCCACCAAACAGUACAUACUCUGUAUAUAUUUGCAGCUUGAUAUGACAUUUCAAGACUUCUUUCUCUUCUUUUCUCUUUUGACUGCACUACAGACACAAAUAUUACUCUCUCUCUCUCUCUCCCUCUCAUAAAGCUGCCAACAAGAUCCAUUAUAUCCCUUCCAACCUCUGUAGUCUGUGGGAUAUAUAGUGAAAAUAAUAAAUAAGGUUACAGAAAUAAGAACUAGCUACUACUGUAGUGUAGUGUCUUAUUAAUUGCACAUCUACCUCUCUCUCUCUCUCUCUCUCUCUCUCUCUCUCUCUCACUUGCGUGAACCUAAUCAAUAUUUGAUUUGAAGUUGAAUUUAAUCUUAUUAAUGUAAAUAUAAACACAGAAGGACCGUAAGCACUCAUAAGAAAAAAAUAUUAAUUCCUCCGAAAAAUCGUAUUAUGGGAAAAUGAGGAAAUGGGAUCUGUCAUUUUUAGUGAGGGGGCUUCACAUUUCUCUUGAUAUAAUGCUUAGGUAAACGUCGAAAACAUGUACUUUUCAAUUCUCCAAAUAAGGAGGCCAAAGGAACAAUGCAUGAAAUUUUCAAUUCAAUCCCAUGAACUUAUUUUUUUAUUGCUUUUUCCCAUGAACAUAUAUAUGUCACUGUCUACCAAUGCACUGUUUUGACUAAUGUGCAUAUCCUUUAGAAACUUUGAAGAACACACGCUUGGCUUGGGAUCUCUGAGUUGCGUGUAUAUAAAUUAUACGACUUGAGCUGCUUAAGCCUUUUGCCCUUUCGUUGUUUUUGAUGUUUUUGGUGUUUCCAACAACUAGCAAGCAAGUCCUAUAUAUCCACCAAAGGGUUUUUACUCUUAAUUUGCAAUUUAGAGAUGAGAAAAAGUGGGAUAUACUUGUUGGAAAAAUGAGAGCAUAUUGUAUUCAUUUUCCUCAUGGCCAUGUAUAGCUAAGAUAUGUACUUUCACCCAAAAAAACUGAUGAAAAGAAAUUGCCAGUGAGCAUGAGAGAGAGCGAGAGAGAAAUUACAGGAACUUGGUUUAUCGUUGAUGUAUGAGGAGCCAUUGCUAAUUAAGGAAGCUUUUUAAAAAAUAAGGAAAAAGAAGAAGAAGCAAGAACAGAAGAAUGAAGAAAAGAGCAUAGCUAGGCUAGCUAGCUUCCGGUCAUAAGCAAAUUUUUAGCUGCCCAUCCAUAAAACGUUAUUCUGACCCAAGGUCACUAACUAGCUCACUGGGAAGAGUAAUUUUCCUCAAUUUCAGAGGCUGCAUCAUCAUCUUCUUCAAAACAGUCAAUGCCAUAAGCUGCAUGGCCAUGUCCAAAUGCCUUGAUAUGAUCUUUGAGAGACCUCUUGUGCUUGAAAUCAGAGCCACAAGUGCAAUACCAAAGCUUGCCACAAUUCUUCUCAUGGGUUCUCCAAUCACCUCUCACUGCAAAAGCCUUGCCACAUUUUCUACACAUGAAAGGCUUGAUCCCAUGCUUUCUCUUGUAAUGAGUUUGGAGGGUUCUGAAGUCUUUGAGAGGCUUUGACCUUGGAUGGUCAAUGUUGUUUCUGCAACCUGGUGCACAGCAAUAGCAAGGCAGUCUAAGCAUGGCUGUUGGCUGUGUUCCUCUUAGAGACUCUGGCCCUUUUCUGUAUUGAGAUCCAUGCCCCCACAUAUGCAUCUACACAUAUAAUUUUAUUAAUUAGUCAAGCAAAAACCCACCUCAAGCUGAUGAGGGAAGAAAAAUGAAAAUGUAAAGGAACUAGCUUUCACCGAAUAAAAAGUUGGACUUGUUGUGCAUAAGAUUCGGAUGUCUUUGAAAUGUUGAUUCUUUUUAGACUUGUUUGAAUAUAGCUAGCAUUUGUAAUUUGUUCUUUUUCUAAAACAAACAUGGGUGAUGGGUCAAGGUGUUUUCAAAUGAAAAGAUAAAGCAAACGUUAUAUAUAGCACUGUUGAUGAUACUGAGAAAUUUAUUGGUUCCUCGGGGUUUAAUGAGGAAGAUCAUCUGAUUCUGAAGGCAGGAAGAACUUGGGUUUGAGACAGCUGCCAAGCCAAUGUGAGAGACACAAACUUCAAGGAGCAAAAAGCACAAUUGCUGUGUAGUUCAAUCACAUAAAGAGGGGUGCUAGAGCUGAUCAUAAUUAUUCUCAGAGACUCAGUCUUGGACCAGGUAGCUAGCUGAGAUUUAUUCUUACUUUUUAAAUCCCAAAACCCACAAAUCAUGCAAAAAGAUGAAAAAAAAAAAGAGUGGCUGGUGUGGUGAUCAUAAUAUAAAGUGCCAUUCUGGACAUACAAAACAAAAGAAAGUAAAAAUGAUUUAAAGUUGCAAGAAGAAGAAAAGGGAAACCCUAAGGACCCAUAUAGUACCACUGCUCUUUCCUCUCACCAGUCCACAGCAUAUAUAUAUAUAUAUAAUAAUAAAAGUUAAAGACUAAAAUCAAGCUAAAAAAGAAGUGUACAAAACAAAGAUAGAUAGGAAUGGAUUUGCUCUUUCUCAGUAAAAUCAAGAGAAUAUGAUCAGAAGCAGAAAGUGAUGGGAGCUAGGAAAACAAAAAGUGAAUACUUUUUUCUUUAUAAAAAUAAAUAAAUAUUUCACACAACUUUUUUUUUCUUUUUUUUUUUUCCCCUCUAGCUGAGAAAUCAUGGAACAAUUCAGACAUAUAUGAAAGCUAAAAUAUGUUGUACCUGCAUGUUAUUGUAUCUGUUGAACGUCUUGAAGCAAAGAGGGCAUGAGAACUGGGUUGGACCAAUUAAAAUCUGAGUAGGAGUAGGGAUCCAAUACUGACCCUUGUUGAGUCUGUUUGGGGCAUACCCAGCUGAAGCAACAGUCACAUCUACUACUUCUUUAUCUGAUGAGAUUUCUGGGGAAGAGAGCCUAGAGAUCAAAUCAGUUGAUAGGGUCCUGCUUGGAAGCCCUAAAUGUAAAGCCACAGUAACAGUUUCAUCAUUUUCAUCUUGAUCAACAAUAUCAGCAGAGCUGGAGACGACCAAGCUUUGUUGAUCAGCUGAGUCUUUUCUACUGUUGUUGUUGUUGUUUUGAUGAUCAGCUUCCAUGGCAUUGAAAGAGGGUUCUUGCAAGUCUUCAUGAGGAUGAUGGUGUCUUGAAGGGCUUAGGCUGAGGAGGGGAAGGGCUUCUCUUAGAGGAGGUGAGGGAGGUGAUGAUGAUGAAGAAGAAGACUGGUGGUGAUUAAUGAAAAAGCUUUGAUUGUGCACCAUCAAGUUAUUUGAUGAGCAAAAAUUGUUGCAGUCUCUAUAAUUAGGAGGAGCAUGGAAAUUAUAUGGAUUAAUAGAAGAAGGUGUGGGGGGGGAGGAGAGGUGGUGGAGAGGGUUGAGAUUGAACCAGCCAUUAUUGAAGUAAUUAGAGUAGGGAUCUGUCAUGGUGAUGAUGAUGAGAGGUGGGAGAAGCUAGAGAAUGGAUGGCUUGCUAGGAUUGGGUUAAUAUACACACAGAAGGGGGAGAGGGAGAGAGAGGACUAAAAGUAAAUAAUAAGGUGGAGGAGGAGAGUGGAGACCUAUUGAACAAAAUCACCAACUCAAAAAGAAGCAGCGGUGUAGUGUGAGUGUGAAGGGUUAAAGAAAUGUCAAAAAUCAAGGUUGAUAAAGCAAACCCAACUGAGUAAAAGGAGAGACAAGAAAUCACUUGUGAGGUGUGACCAAACAGUGACAAAAUAUGCUAAAGAAGAGAGAGAGAGAGAGAGAGAUAAUCUUGGGACUUGAAAGGACAAGUCAUCACUUAUUGAACACUGUGUACAAACGGUAUACAAUUAUGUGUACAUACUAGCUAUAUGUAAAGGAAGAAAAUAAAAUUUACCUCACCAACCCGAAGACUCAACUUUGAUGAUGAACGAGUAUAACAAAGGCAUAAGACAAAGUUGGUAAUUAAGAUUGUGGAGCUUGUCCCCCAUCAUUCCAUUCCUCAUGCUCCCAUUGAAUAUUGAUGAGAGAGAGAGAGAGAGAGAGAGAGAGAUUGUACAAUAUACAACCAUCCAUGCAUACAGCUGAACACAAGCUAGCUAGCUAUAAGCUAAGGGUUGUAAUUUUGAGAUAGAUGUUAUGUAACUAUACAUAUACCAUAUUAUUUUAAAAUUUUAAUUGAAUUUUCUGUGGCUUUGGGAGACAUACAUAGUUAGAUCCAAACCCAGCAUUUGCUUUGGUGGGCGGGCCAUGGUCGGCUAAAUUGGCUCCCCACGAGCACAGAGAGAUAUUGUCCUCAUCUCAUCUCAUUACUGUUUGCUUGCUUGUUUACAUGCACAACAACAACGUUACUGUUUCUUCUCUCUCUCUCUCUCUCUCUCUCUCUCUCUCUCUCUCUCUCUCUUUCACAUCUCUCUCUCUCUCGGCUGAUCUGCUAUAACAGCAGCUGAAGCCCAUUUAGAUUUAUUUAAUUUUUCUUCUAAUUAAUACGUAUAAUGGUAUGGGCCAACAAACUCUGUCUACGUAUUGAGCCGACACUGGUAGUAAUAUUGACCUUUGACAAAAAUUUCGUGUCGUGAAAUUACAUCUGUUUACUAAAACCUUUUAUGAAAUAAAUAUAUAUGUGUCCCCAUAUUAUCCUAAGCCUUAAAACAUCUAUGUCUAAGAGAAAUAUAUAUAUAUAUAUAUGUAUAUCAGAGAGCUUUCAUUGAGGGAUCCCUCAAAUAAUAUUUGAGGGACACCUCUUGUAGGCCCCACUCCGGAUUGUAUUUCACUAAUCCAAACCGUCUAUUUUGUAGAUACUCAUUCAAAGAUCAUCUCUACAAAAAAUCACUUGAAUCCGAUAUCAUGUGACCACUCAAUUGAGUUAUUGAAAUUUUAGUACUUUUCUUAAAGCACCGUGUUCAUUGAUUUUGUAAGACACAAUUGGAUGUCGAAACGGUUUUCGAUUUGUCUAAUUUUUUGUAAGGAUGAUCUAUGAAUGAAUACCUAAAAAAUAGAUGGUUUGGAUUAUUGGGAAAAGAAUUGUAGGGUACUCUAAAGGGCGUCCCUCAAAUAAAAUUAUUUGAGGGAUCCCUCAAUAGAAGGGGACUGUAUAUAUAUAUAUUUAAAUUACAAAAUCAAAAGGGCAGCUUAAGAUUCUUGUGACAUCCCUAUUCAUAAAUUUACAAUUGUUCUUGUAAAAUGUUCAACUACCUCUCAAGAUCUGGUAUUCAGAGUAGAAAUGUACAAAUUGAAGGUGGUUCGAAAAUGUAUUGAUGCGCUUAAAGUAUAUUUUGCUGGAGGAAAAAAUGAUAAGGGAAGAAAAAACCUUUUUCCAUUUUCGUGGCAAUUAUGCUAUUAGAUCGGUUUUGGGAAGAAGACACACUUGCGAAAUGUUAUUGGGACAAAGAACAAAAGAACAUAAAUUCAGGAAAACAAGUUUGCUGCAAACUCUGAGCAGCAUGGCAGUGGCUACCCACAUCACUCCAAUUCGGUACCAAAUUGCCAGUACUUUCUAGUCCCAUAUACAUUUCGCGUACAAUAUUAUAGAGACUUGGUGUGUGAAUGAAUAUCACAUUCAAAGUCACAUUUCAGUGCAUGGGACCCUCUCAAUAAUAGAGAAGAGUAAUGCUAAUGCUAUCAAUUGUCGACCAUGUGCGCACGUGAGUGACGGUAAUUCGUUAAUGCAACACGAUAUAUUAAUGAUUAAAAAUCACUUAUAUAGUGCGUGAACGAUUGUUGCUAGCAAAAUUAUAUAGAAGAAGAAAUAUAAUGUGGGUUGAGGAAAUUGAUUGAUAUCUGUCAUAUGUGAGCAUUAACAUGUGGAUAACUUUUUAAAUUUCCUUUACUUUUUAACGAAUAAAACGUGGGGACAAUCUGGAUGAUUGGGCAUUCUUAGCAAUUGGAGCCAGAAGAACAGUAGGUAUGAAUUAACUUUUGUAUUUUAUGAAAAGCAAACGCCUUUUUCUGCUAGUAUAAGUAUAUCGUAUUUGCUAAAAAAUACGAAGACGAGCCAUUUUUUUAACUUUCUACCUGGCAAUGUAGGAUGGUCCUAUUAAAAAAUGAAUAAUCAAAUUAGGGCUCAGGUCAACGCAAUUAAGAAAUUGGACUUGGGCUAAACCUAAGUGAAGAAAGUCGGGUCAUGUCAAGCCCAAUCCGGAAAACUUAGGGCCAACCUUAUUUUUUUUUAUCUUCUCUCUUUUAAAUCUUUCCUUUUUCAUUAUUACAAUGUAUGGAUAUUAUUUUGUUGUAAAAAGAAAACGGAUUAAAGAGUGGUAAUGAAAAUAAUUUCAUUAGAACUGGGUCGUGAGUAUUAAGCCUGACCCAGAUCAUGAGCAAGGAAGUAAAAUGGGGGUGAAAGCGAAAUAAUAUCCCCAUUUGACAGUGGAUAAGAUGAAGGCAAAGCAACCCAAUGAAACAAGACCAUUAUGAAGAAAAGCAUGUACAACAUCAAGGAAAAAGAAUAAUAAAUGAAUUAACAGACAGCCGGACAAAGUAACACGGGCCCUAAUUCCGGUGUCCAACCCCGAAGUGAAAUCUCUUUGUAUGCUUAUCGUUAAAUGCAUAUUCGAGACGAAGAGGCCCCAAUGGUGAGUCCAAUCUGAUGCCAAACCCGUAACCGUAACCACUUCCAGGCUUCAGCCUAGCACCCGCAGGAUCACCUGAUUAUGCAUAGAUAAUCUCAGGACAAUAUGGUUCUUUAUGGUUCCAAGGAUUCAAGAGUGAAUAGUAAAUUAAACUAAGGGAAACCUACCAGGAACAGUAGGGCCUGAUCCAAGAUCCGUGCCAUAGUCAGCAAAAAUAACUCCUCCAACUGGCCCUAUCUGCAACAACAGGACAUGAUAUCAUGAUGGAUCAAGGAAUCAAUGUUUUCUUCAAGUAUAUAGAGAAGACAGUUUCCCACAAUAACAAUCAAACAUGAUAUGCCCAGCACAGAUGCUUGUAAGAACCCAAAAAAGACAAAAGAAAAGAGAGCCCAUUUUCACCACAUACCACGGGAAAAGAAAUUUCUCCAGAGCCAACUGUAUAAGAUCUACCUGAGCCCACAGCACCUUCUUCGUAACCUCUUACACUAUUUGUUCCACCGAUGGCAAAUGCUUCAUGUGGUGGGAAGUUACCAACCACAUGGCCACCAGACAAACUAGCAGUGCAAAGCAUAACAAAGUCAAAACCAAAUUAAAGCAUCAUUUGCUUAAUUUCAAAAGAUAUAAAUUACAAUAGCAAGUUGGGUCAAAUUUUGGGUGAAACUAUAAAACUCAUAAUGUUUUAUAAUAUUCGAUUGCUCCUAUUCUUGACAAAUACAAAACGGCCAUACCUUAAAAGAAAGCGAGCAGGGCCAAGUUCUAGGUCUUUCCUGGCACGAGCAUUUAUUCUGUUGAAAACCAACCAUUCAGGCAAAACAGGAAGUCCUUGUUCCAUGUUCAAUACUAGCUGCAGAGGGCCAUAAAUGAGUAUCAAAGUACAGUGGAAGUUCAGAAAGAAAAAAGAGUCAUAAUUUGUGAACACACUGUGAUUGACUAACCAUUGAAGACCCAUGGUCACCAGAACCUGUGUAGACACUCUCAAGUUUAGCAAGUAGCAUAUCGUCAUGGUUAUUGCCACUACAAAACAAAAAUGGCAAACAAAGAGCAGAAGAUUAGAAUCAUGGAUCACAGCAAAACUUUAACUAAGAUAUGGAAACUAAACUGAAGUAGUUUGGUUUUUAUUUGAUUUCAGACUCGUGUACCUUGCAGUUAGGGGACUGCUGAAGAAAUCCUUGAUAAUAGGAUUUCCUCUCUCAUCACGAGCACCAGCAUGCUGGCAAAAUAGUCAAGAAUAUGGGUAGUUAAUGUUACAAAUAAAAUACAACCAAGUCAACAUAAACCUCAUAACAAACCUUCCAAGUUCAAAACCACCACUGAAUGUUAAAACUCAUCCAAGAAACACACAAAAAAAACAAAAAACAAAAAACAAAACAAAACAGCCACAGGGGGAUAAAAGCACAAGUACCUGAAAGAUAAGCCCAGCUGUUCCACUCAACUUUGGCCUUAUGGGUCGGCUGAAUUCAAUACCAGCUGUGAUGCGACCAAUGGUCAAGUUGCUACCAUCUUGUUGGUUACCAUGGAUAAGUGUUCCAGGGGUUCUUGAAUUCUAACAGAAAAGAAUUGGUCAAACAUCUCGCCAUCAAGAAUUUUCAAGUAGUGAAUGGUAAAACAAUAGUACUUUAUACAAUACAACGUUAAAGUACCUGAACCAUUAUAGUCCUGGACGUCCGCAUAUCAUCUCCUGCAAUCCAUGGAUCUGAGUAGUUUAUACGAAAUAUUGAGUCUAUCUGGCCCCUCUCCAGAGAAACAUGGAGUUUUUGGUUUCUUCCAAAGAGAUUCCUAUGAGAAUAUGCAAAGCUGCAAAGGGAAGAAAAAAAUUUAUGUCAAAAGUGUAAUAAUGAAAUCAUAAGAAUCUAGUGCAACACUAGAUGACAUGCUGAUGGUGAACACUAACACUAUUUGAACAUAGACGCACGUAUAUUUGUAUGUAUAUGUAGAAAUACAUAAUGCUUACAGAAUCCAGAUGGUCUGUCUCUUCAUAAAAUAUUAAUAAUAGAAAGCAUUUUCAAUACAUAACUUUUUAUGUGCAGUAGAUUACCUUCCAAUGAGUCCUGAAAGAGGGCCGCUUGUAAUUCUGAAAUUAAAGAACAGAAGUUAACAUUUUAUACCACAAAAUCUAAAACAUAAACUCAUAUAUUGACCACAAAAAAAGUCAAUUUGUAUGUUCCACUCAUUUGACUUACCCACUUGAUAUACCACCACCAGCAGAAAAACCUCCACUUGGUCGCUCAACAACAUUCAUGGUGAUAUCAACCUUACCAGCAUCUACAAUUUUGCAGUAGUUAUAGCAAGCAAUGCAUUCAACCACAUGCAUGAACUCCACACAAACAUGUAUAAAUUAUUAAAGAUAAACAAAAAAAUAAUAAUCAUUGAACGCUAACAAGAUGGAAAAUAUGUUAUCCAACAAAAAUAUUUGCAAAAAAGAUUCUUUACCACCUGCUGGCUGGGGUAUAAUGCUAACAUCUUCCAUAAGUCCCAUAGUCAAUACAGUCUCCACAUCUCUUUUUCCUUGAAGCAUACUGUAGACCUACAUAGGUAUCAUCCCAAGUAGCAACCCUUAAAAGUUGACAUGUCACCACUAAAUUUAGUGCAUUUCUUUAAGGAAGAACCAUUUAAGCAUAAAUACUUGAUGGCAAAGUAAAAGCACAAUGUUCCCAAAAACCCACUAAGAUCAUUAUUAUAUAGAGAAAAUACGUCCAGGAAAGUACCUGACCCUUCUUUGUAGUAAGUUGGCGAAGUAUUGUUUCGGGCUUUGUCUUCCCUACAGUUGGUUCCCCACUAAGAAGAGCACAGAAGAAUUAGCCAAGAAAUCAUUUCAUAGCCACUUUUUCAAGAAAAUUUGAACAUUAUCCAUGCAUGCAACAUCUGUAAAUGCGAACUCGAUUAAACCAGGAACUUACGUCUUCCUGUCAAGGAACCGUAUGGAGAUAUUAUUGACCUCCGCUUCUGAUACUUGUAACUUAAGAACACCUCCCGAGAGACUCUCAACAGCUGAAACCUAUAAUGUAAUCAAGAAAAGAGCUGUCUACUAUUAAGAAAAAUCUUGAUAAAAAAUAAAGCACAGUGAAGUCUUCACUGAACCAAUUCUACAUUCUACAGCACUAGAAAUAUUAACUUCAUCUUUGUACAUGCCGAAAUUCAAAAUAAUUAUGAAAAACUUAUAGAGAAGAAACCAACCAUUGCAAAAAGGCCCCGAUCCAUGUACCAAUCAUUGAUGGAAGAUAUAACUUCAUUCAAACGCUUAAGAUUAAUAACUUUUCCUGCACAACUUGACACCAAAAUCGAAAAUCAAUAUAGGACUCUUUGAUCACACUUAAGUGGCACACCAGAAAAAAGCAAAUGAUCUUUCGUGCAAAGAGCAUGCACGAACAACCCUAAAUAUGUAAGAACGUUGAAGAAAAACCUACCAUAUCCGUCACAGAAUGCAUCCUUUAUAAACUUCGCUGGAAGAACAUUUGCCCCUUCACAUACUAGCCCUUGGAAUUCCUGGUUUGGUUUUACCUAGCACCAUUAAAAGAUUAUUAAACUAUUAGUCACAGUUCCAAGCCAAAUCAAAUAGGAAACAUGUUCUCAUACAUGAUCAUGACAUGAGUUUGCAUCACCUAUGAAACCAUAACACAAAACCAUGAUUGCUCGCUCUCUAUUUCAAAUUUAUUUAUUUUUAGGGCAAAUCUCUCUAUCUAAUGCAAAGACAAUGAUCUAAAGAAGAGUUAAAAAUGAUCAUGGGUCAAAAAUCAAAACAAUAAAUGCAUAAAAGUGAUGAACUCAACACACCGAUAAACAAGCACCUUGAUAAUUAGCAUGAGGUCAUAAGGACUUAACUGAAAUUGAAAAUGACAAAUGAAUACAAAAAUAAUACAAAUAAUAAACACUAAAUGCUUUUGGUUCACGACAAGCAUUAGUUUCAAUUUCUUUAAGCUCUUCUCCUACAUUUAUUAGGAUUAUAAACAGAAAAAGGCACAGAACGCAAUUGAAUUCGACAACAAUGCAUAUGCUUGUACCUGAAAGAUCAAUCGGAUACCGUCUCUCGUAUCUACAGCGACUGGCAUGCAAGAGCAGAAGUAUCCACUAUCGAAGAUUCUCUGCACAUCCUCUUGGACCUCGCUCACAGUGAGCGCCGAGUUGGGACGGCAAGCCUUGAGAGCCGCCAAGGCCUCCGCUUCUAGGUCCUUCCUCUCCAGCUCUUCACCGUCCUUGUUCCUCACCAGUACCUCGCUUAUCAAAACCCUCUCCUCGUCGUGCCGACUCGAUGAGUGGCCCUUCUGCUGCGACUGAGUCGACUCGUCCGGCCGAGUCAAAGAUAACGACGCUGAACAUAAAAGCGGUGACUUCCCUACAAACUGACUGUGGUCUGCAUUUCGAUUUCGUGAUUCGGACUCUGCCGAAUCAGCGGACCGAGUCAGGGACAACGACGCGGAGCAAAGAAUAGGCAGAGAGUGCGAGCGACCGUUUUGAGUUACUGCAAUGCACUGAUUCAACUCGGUGGACAGAAAGGGGGGCCAUUUUAAUGGUGGAAAUUGUGCGAAAGCUGAACGAGUCUUGAGCGAAUCGAUGAGUUGAGCAAACGAGUUUCUGGUUCUAGCGAACAGAAAGGGAAGGUCCAAUUGCCGAUUUUGCGGGGGCCGAGGGACUUUGACAGAAGGCGACGAAGUGAACCGAACCUCGUCAUUCGGCGGCAUUGUAUUUGGUCUGAGAAAUGAGAACGGAGAGAGUUGUUUGGGUGCCGAGAUACUUGUGUGGAAAUAGGAGGGCAGGGUUUUAGGGAUGCAAUUGAAGAAAGGAAAAACCCUAGAGCUUAGCUUGGACCACACUGAAAACAGGGAGGGGUUGGGUGAAGAAGACGGAGUGAAAAAGAAUCGAGGAAGACGGAGAAUCUGGAGGACUCGUAUCGUUAACUUAUUGGUUUCGGAUCGGGGGUGGUUCGUGGGCUUGGGCCGGGUUGUUGUUGUCGGCCUUAGUAUUUAACCCAUAUUUCAUACCUACUUAUUUAUUUGGUAAUUUUUGUGUAUGCACAACCAAAAUAUUUAUCUCUAAACGCUCAAUUUCUAAGAACACUCCUAAUUAAAUGAUACAAAAUUAUAAAAUUUUCUUUUUUUUGGAAGGUAGUAAGGUUUCAUUCAAUUGUCAAAGGUUACAGACUCGAGCGAACAUACGUGGCCUUAUCAAAAUCUUGCCUCAGAAAACCCAGUAGAAAAAAUCUAAGACGAAAGAAAAAGAGUGUCACACACUCCAUAAAGGCUACGAACUAAACUCAAAACAAAACCAAAAUAACGUCAACUAGCAUAGACACAUUGUCCUUGGAGGACCCUCUUUAAGCCAAGCGUCUGAAGACACACUACCUAGAGCAAACUUAGCAUGGCUACAAUAAGACACAAACUGGGAACAAAGACAAUAAGAAAAUUCAACUUGAUCAUAUGCCAUACUGACAUCAAGCAUCACCACAACCUUUGGCUCCUUUUUUCGUCAUCAUUUGUUGACUGAAUGCAUGGGCUCAAAAGCAAGAGAUUAUCAGGAAUAGACCGGACAGGAAAAAAGGCAUUUUGAACACUAGAAAUCAUCUCAAGCAAAAUGAUCAUCAAGAGGUUAACUAGAAUCUUUGCACAAAAAUGGGGUCUUGAGCUCUAAGGAAUUGUCUUAGAGCUUGGAAUAUGUAGGGGUUCCCAAGCCCCAAUACAUUCCAUUUCAUUUGUCUCGUUGAAAUUGACGGGGUAGCCCUACUAACCCCGUCUCUAUAUCAUUCUCCAAUUGAACAGUGUUCAGCUCCGAUUGAUGCGGGUUCUCAUCACCCUUUUGGGCCUUAGAUACCAAUUAGGUUGCUCAAGCCUUAGCCUUCCACGAUAGAGUUGAUGCCCACUUUGAUUUGCGUUAACCAUUUGAGUUGCCCCACUAACUUGCUUCUCUUGCAGACCCGCUUUUUGAAGAGAGAAUGGGUUAAGGCCCAUAAUAUUAGAAUUAUGACAGCUUUUAACUUCAAUUAUAUUCUUUCAUUUCUCAACACUAGCCUCUUCGCACCCGCUUCUGCGCUUGCGAGAGGUUUGUUUGUUUUUUUAAUUAAAAUUUAUUUUAGAAUUAAAAAAGAUAAUGGGUAGUUGUGUUCCAUAAAAAUAGGAUCCAUUAUCUUAUUUUUCUUUUAAUUUUAAUUUUUUUAAUAUGAAAAAGUGUGAAUUUACCAUAUUAUCCUCAUUUAAUUAAUAAUUUCAAUUCUUAAUGUUUGCAUUAACUAAGGGCAUUUUUUGGUAUUUUGAAUGUUUCACCAUUCUCUGUCUUUUGCUUUAUAUAGAGAGAUUCAUUGGCGAGUUAAUUGCCAAUGAAUCAAUCCCCAAGAACUGCUCUUGAUUUAAAUUUCCUUGAAUGGCCUCAUUGCCUAAUUUAUGCCUCUUGUGAUGGUAAGCCAUAAUGUAGUCAUUAUUCUCAUUAAUGGUGCCCUACAGUAACUGAUCCCCUUCAUCUUCAUCCUUUUCUCGGUGACGAACUUCGCCGGCAAGGCCCAGUUCUUCGGAGCUUGGGGCUUUCAUCAACCAUCUCAACCGUAGUGAUCUUGGUGGUUCCAUCUCAUGUUCAUCUAACCAUUCUUUGACCUCUGCUUUGAGCCAUGAACCAAAGGGUUUGAAAUCCCCAUGGUUAACAACAGAAUCCCGAAGUGAGCACUGAUUCAAGACAUGAUCACAAAGGCCACAUAGAUAACAACAGUUUGGAAGCUUUUCGUAUUUAAUCAAAAAGAGGCGACUCCCAACCUUUGAGAAGGUAAAACGUAGACAUCAUUUCAGGGGUUGAGUAACAUCAAUAAUAACCUUUAUUAUGAGAAAACUUCCCAGGCAAGUACCUCAUUUUCCAGAAUCAAUCUCAAUAAACCUCCCCAGAAUAUCCCCAAUGAGUUGCCCAGUACUACUCUCCAUAUAUGCCAGAGGGACACCCUUCACUCUAAUCCACAAAGGUUGUGUAGUGAGAGGAUGACAGGACCCGAAUCAAAUUCCGCUUUGGAAUUCGAGUCAAACCCUGUGCGUGUCCGACACUUGGCAAAUGUCGAGCACGAAAGACCUAUUUGCCCUUUUUCUUAAAAUUUUGACUUUGACUUCUACCGAAAUUUCGGCAAAGUCUCCCCUAAAUUUCGUUCAAUCCAAAACUUAAACCUGUCAUAACGAGCAUAAUCGUCCAAACGACCAACAGCCAGCACUUCAAUAAACAUGCCAAAAGUUCCAUUCUCACUCUAGGGCAAUAUAUCAGAGCAAUUUUGAUAGCUUACGGAUCACUUAAUUGGUUUGCAUACCAACAUUUUUGAACCAGAAGGCGCGGAAGUCACGAUGGCCCGGUGGUGGGUGUCUUGUGCACACUACAGCCUGGGGGCGCAAAACAGUUGAAAGUGUGAGUGGACCAAAAAUAAAGGUUCAUAAAAUAUCUGAGAAUAUACUAACCCCUGGUGUAAAAAUAAAGAAAUAAAUCCAAACACGUAUUCUGCAUUUAAAGCAUACUAAACUCAAGGCAUUAUAUGUAAAUCAUAUUCGAACUCGAUACUUCUCGCAUAAAAACAAUGAAAUCAAAUACAGUUGAGUAAAACUAAAUAUCUAAACUAUCUUGGAAACAUAUGAAAGUCAACGCAGUUACAUAUUUAUAGAAAUAUAUGCAAUCGCUUUCAAGGGCAAUAAAACUUGCAUGAAAGCAUUGAAAUCCAAUUUGCAUAAAAGUGCUGAAAUCUAACCUGCAAUAAAGCAAUGUACUCAAAACUUGAAUUAAAGCACUGCAAUUAAUCAAAACUACCACUCGGAUGUACCCCUGUAAUUCCGUCAAUUCCCCUGGCAGGUCUCGACGACACACAGUCUAUCCGAGCCACAAAUCCUGGCAGGAUACAGGGGACUAUAGUCAGCCUGAUCCGCUGGCAGGUCUCGGUGACACAAAGUCAACUCGAGCCGCUCUAGCAGGAUUCAGGGGACCGUAGUCAGCCUGAUCCGCAAUCCUGGCAGGUCUCGGGGACACGAAGUCAGCAGAGCCGUAAAUCUUGGCAGGUCUCGGGACACCAAGUCUGCCGAGCAGCAAAUCCUGGCAGGUCUCGGGACACCAAGUCUGCCGAGCCGCAAAUCCUGGCACUCAUGAUCCGAGCGUCCUCGAAACUCGUGAGGCAAUGUCAAGUGCACUGACAGAACUGUAAAUAGACUGGAUGUCCGUAGACAUCGGUCCAUCUGAGGGUAAUCACCAUAACUGGGUACACACGGUGGUUAAAAAUAAAUAUUUUAGAAAAAUCUGAUAAAUCACUGUAUUUGGCAAGUCUGAAACUAAGCUGCUAUUUCCUCUGAUAUAAAUCUCAACUCUGCUUUCUGUCACUUUCUACCAUGUUCAACUAAGCAGCAUAGAAAUAAAGAUAUUUGACGGCACAAAUCAUGCUCGGAAAACAUUCGGUAAAACUUAUUCAAAAUCAAAUAAUGAAAUUUACUCAUAUAAACUCCUUUAUAAAAACUUAUUUAUAUAAAAUCAAUAUAAAAUCAUUUAUGUAAACUCAUUUAUAUAAAGCAUUUAUAUAACUCAUUUAUAUAAAAUCAUUUAUGAAAGAAAGUCCACUCACUCCUGGUCCGAGCUCGCUAGACCUUCUGACGGUCUCUCUUGCGGGCCUGUCUGGUCGCGGGUGCCUGGGUCGACAGAAAUGGUGGCAGGAUGAGGGAGAUCGGCGACCUUAAAGUUUCUGUGAGUUCCCGUCGCUUUUCUGUAAUUUUCGGCCAGCACAGGCCGUGCAGCCGGCGGGGAAGGGUCGGAAAAGAUAGGGGACUCGACGGCGGUUCCAUUGCCACCGGUCCCGUGGCAUGUGGUGCCUUGAGGCGGCGCCAGCAAGCUCUGGAAGGCGGCGGGCAGUUUUUUGCGCGAAAGGAGAGAGCUGACUGGUUUUUUAUAGAUUCAACUUCGAAAUAUUUACGGUUAUGCCACUGAGACUCUUUUGACCAUAACUUUCUCGUUACAACUCCGAUUCGGGCCCACUACGUGUCUAUGAACUCGUUUCACCAUGCUCUACGCAAUGGCCAAGCGGAAUUGUCAAAUUCCUUCUCGAUCAAAAAGUCACCUUUUUCUUAAUAAAAUAUUAUGAAGGCAAAAUUGUCUUUUCGCAAAAUAAAAUAUUCCUUAAUUAUGAAUUUUUGGUUUGGAAUAUUACAGAGGAACUUGAUGGGGGUCUUCAAAACCAUCAAUUUCUCCCAAGAUCAUAAGAGCGUUCUCAAAAUUCCAAGGACUACCUUUGAGCGCACAAUUUCUAUCACUUUCUGACAAAAAGGAGAACAAAAACCUCCCGUGCUCCAACUGGCAGAUCUCUACACAUGCUCUUGGUGACCAAAGCUUCUUCAUGGUCCUCAUAAAGAAAUGUACCUUAAAAUCCUUCGGGAUGAGAAGCCUCCCAACUAAAAAGAGACAUUGAGCUUGCCUAUUGUUUCCAAUAGGUCGCUCAAAUACUAUAGACCUGUUUUCAUCCUCAGUGAGAUUGAGUUGCGUGGUAAGUUUGUCCACAAACGCAUCCGUGGCAGCAAAGUGACAAUCAAGAAUCUUACCUAGCCAAGAGAAUAAAGCCUUCCACAGUGACAUGCACUCAACUACACUACCAGAAGAGUAAUCUUGGACUCUUUAUCACACUCUAGAAACUCUCACGACUCUAGGCGAGAAGGAGAGACUGGAUUGGAUGCUCACAUAUAUUAAUUAUAAAAUUUUCUUUGAGAACCUAAAAAUGUUUAUGAUGCUUCUUUCAUAAUGAUUUAGAGGAGCACGACCGCAUAUUGUAUGUUCCUUUCACUUACUCUUUAAAGUUUUGGCCCACAAACAUUUUCUCCAUCGUUUGAGAUGGAGUAAAAUGUUUGUAUCUUCUAUUUAUUAGUCUCUCUGCACGAGCUUCCGCGCAUGCGAGAGACUUUUUUUUUUUUAAAUUUAAAUUUAUUUUAGAAUUAAAAAAUAUAAUAGGUAGUUGUGUUCCAUAAAAAUAGGAUUCAUUAUUUUAAUUUUCUUUUAAUUUUAAUUUUUUAAAUAAGAAAAAGUGUGAAUUUACCAUAUUAUCCUCAUUUAAUUAAUAAUUUCAAUUCUUAAUGUUUGAAUUAACAAAGGGCAUUUUCUGGUAUUUUGAAUGUUUCACUAUUCUCUGCCUUUUGCUUUAUAUAUAUAGAUAUAUAUAGAUUUAUACAUUCUUUGCUAUCAAUAAUAUACACAAUAUACUUCCUAAAAAAAAAUUAAUAUACACAAUAUACAGAAUUUUACAAGAUAAUGCUUUUAAGUUACAACACAUUAUUUCUUUCUUUUUUUAGGUUAAAAAAA
This 32804-nucleotide long non-coding RNA is filed under the name Prunus persica (peach). Its description in RNAcentral is "long non-coding RNA (PPER_LNC005604)". The record is from RNAcentral. Lineage: Eukaryota; Viridiplantae; Streptophyta; Magnoliopsida; Rosales; Rosaceae.